Paramuricea clavata is the source of this 1097-nucleotide non-coding RNA. Lineage: Eukaryota; Metazoa; Cnidaria; Anthozoa; Malacalcyonacea; Plexauridae. The record is from the annotation of a GenBank genome assembly.
AGGUCAUAAUGCCCUAACAGGCGAUUCUGCCCUUACAGCUAUUGUGCCCCUAACAGGCCAUUUGUCCCUUACAGGCUGUUCCGCCCCUAACAGGCCAUUCUGCCCUUACGGGCUAUUGUGCCCCUAACAGGCCAUUUGCCCUUUACAGGCAAUUCUGCCCUAACAGGCUAUUACACAGUGAUUGCGCCCCUGACAGGCCACCCGAAGCCAAUUGGCUACUUGUUGCUGAACUGAGUUCCAAAACUGUUGUGUGGUUCAACUCUGCAACAGGCUUUGACAAAGCUUGCCAUAAUUCUUGUCAGGUAAACAACAACGGCCACCAUGGGCAGAACUCCACUCUGGUAUUUGCCCCUUUUCAAACUAUUGUGCCCCUAACAGGCCAUUUGCCCCUAACAGUCGAUUCUGCCCUUACAGGCUAUUGUGCCCCUUACAGGCUAUUGUGCCCCUUACAGGCUAUUGUGCCCCUAACAGGCCAUUGUGCCCCUAACAGGCCAUUUGGUAUUGACAAUUCAAUUUUUUAGUUAUUUAUUCGCAUAUUAUUGACAGUUCACGUUACGUACAUUCGUUCGUUUUAACAUUCACCAAAAAGUAGACAAAACAACACCCAUAGUUUGCCCACAAUCCCGCGUCGACAUAGACGCUCGAUCACGCUCGAUUUCGCUUUGUAGACGUUUCAUUUCUUUUCUAUAAUCCUCCCGAUUCUUUAACAACUCUCUCGCCCAUUGUGGCGGUUCAGAUGGCGAACGUGAGCGACUACGAGUCUCUGAACGACUGGCGGAUUGCGAAGACGCGACCUUGCUUUUUCGUCACUCGAAUGGCGCGAACUUCGUUCUGGAUUUUCUUCCCGCUCUCGAGGACUUCUAUUGUACGGAUCUAGGCGCCGUAACGCUCUAAGUCUGAUUUAGGUUGAUUUGAUUCUUUUGGCAUGACUACCAACAAAGGCAAUUUUUUCGCUCAACAAAAACGACACAGGUCAGGCUAGCACGAGGCAAGCAAAAAAGUGACUCUGAUGACCUUGACCCCACCCUUGACCCAAUCACCCAGCAGUGUGUGAGAAAAACAUUUUCUGCCUCUUUCGUUCCUCAGCCAGAAGAAAA